Molecule: non-coding RNA, 28 nt
Filed under: Drosophila melanogaster (fruit fly)
Lineage: Eukaryota; Metazoa; Arthropoda; Insecta; Diptera; Drosophilidae
Source: RNAcentral
UGAACGAUCGGUUACUCGUCAACGACUU